CCGCCGCCGCGCAGCGGGACGGGCGCGAGGCGGCUCCGCGCGCUCCAAAUGCCCGAGGCGGGAGCUAAAACUCCCGACCCGACCUCUCGUCUCACAUUUUGAUCAGGCUGAGAGGGAAACGAAGGAGGUUGUUGGGAGCAAAAAGAUCCGUGUGUGACAGCUGUGAGAAAAAGGCCAACAACAAGGAAUGUGCACACACAGUGUUGCAUAAGCUACUGUUACAUUGUACACUGCUCACCAUGAACUUCUAGAUCAUUUUAUGUAGAAAGAAAAAGUUCCGAAAAUAUUCAGCCUGUUAGGGACUCAGUGGCAGAGAACUCUGCUCUUUUCCAAGGAGGGUUUUGACCAUGGCUCCAUGCAUGCUUCCAGCCCUUUAUUGGGUAAACGAACAUUUUUUCUAUCAAGUCUGAAGAUCAUCAUCCUUCUCCAGCUGAAGUGGAAGAGUUUGGUCACACCAAUGCCUCAGCCUUUGCCAAUAUGUUCAACACGAGGAGCACUUCUGAUUCUUCUCAGUUUGAAACCAAUCAAGCCAAAUUGGAAAAGGCACAGAGAAGGAUGAUUAAUGGUACAGAGUUUUUCCUGAUGUGCAAAACCCCUCAGCUUGGGAAUGAAUGAUACAGAGAAUGAGAACAGAAGUCUAAGAGAAUAACACCGAGUGACAGAAGCUGGUGAAGUGAACAUGGUUGUUUCUUUAAAAAAAAACAAAAACAAAAAACCACAAAUUUGCCUGGUUAUACUUUCUAUUUUCAAGCUGACAGUGGUGUAAUUAAAUACAGAAAUAGUCAAAUCCUUGAGGCAAUAUUCCUUCUUCCUCCAGCUUUUCAAAUUAUACUCACAGUUCUGAGAGACAAACAGUGUUUAGUGUUCCAAGUUACUGCUAAGUCCAUUGCGUCAAAAUAUUAAAGCCACAGCAACAAAAAAUACAAAUUUGACCCAGAUCAGAAAAUAGAGAUGGUCAUUAGUAAACAUCAUGUCUUGUCAUUGACAACUGGCGGGACACGGAGGGGUGGAGGGACACGGGAUAGAGGAGAGAGGGAGCAGGAAAGGGU
Long non-coding RNA from Neopelma chrysocephalum (saffron-crested tyrant-manakin), 1049 nucleotides. RefSeq lists it as uncharacterized. Lineage: Eukaryota; Metazoa; Chordata; Aves; Passeriformes; Pipridae. The transcript is spliced from 4 exons. The record is from RefSeq and is a predicted model, not a curated record.